Salvia splendens (bonfire salvia) is the source of this 685-nucleotide long non-coding RNA. RefSeq lists it as uncharacterized. The record is from RefSeq and is a predicted model, not a curated record. The transcript has 2 exons. NCBI's taxonomy places the organism in Eukaryota, Viridiplantae, Streptophyta, Magnoliopsida, Lamiales, Lamiaceae.
UCUCUUCCCCCUCUCUCUCUCUCUUCGACAUCUCCCUCCGACCCUCCCUCCUUCUUCUUCCUUAAUUUUUUUUAAAAAAAGCCACCGGAAAUCGAUUCCCCAGCCACCGGAAAUUGACGGGAGGUGCUGCUGCCCGUCGGAGAUGCUGCCGCCCGUCAGGAGCUGCUGCCGUCCGCCGCGAGCUGCUGUCUUGCCGUCCGCCGAGAGCUGCUGUCUCGCCGUCACCGCCUGCACCGGCGCCGCCGCUGUCUCGCCGGAAAGAGGAGACGUCGCGGGUCGUCGCCGUGGGAGGUCCAGCCUCCGGGGCGCUGUCCGCACCGGGGAAAGUCGAGCGCGGCUGUCCGCCGCUGCCCGUCGCCGGCUUCUUCUUCUUCGAAACAACCCCGAACGACCCCGAUUCAACCCGCAAGGAUUAAUGGUGGAAGAUGGAAGAGUUGGAGACUUUGAGAGUCCACCACCUAUUCGGCCGAGAGGGUGGAAGAAGGAAGAAGAAGGGAGUUGGGCUUGAUCCCACAUUUUGAUUUAAUUUGUUUUGGGCUCAAUAGUUGCAAGCCCAAGUUUGUAUAUUUAUUAUUUGGCUAGAUUCUUAAAUAGUUAGGGCCCAAGCCAUUUUUUUUGUAGAUAACCAUUUGGACUCUAAUUUAAUUUGAGAAGCCCAAAAAUAAAUAUACGUACUUUAUAUUCU